This 3563-nucleotide long non-coding RNA is filed under the name Pongo abelii (Sumatran orangutan). RNAcentral's name for it is "lincRNA". The stretch from base 1070 to 1145 matches the Rfam family "mir-9/mir-79 microRNA precursor family". Lineage: Eukaryota; Metazoa; Chordata; Mammalia; Primates; Hominidae. The record is from RNAcentral.
ACUCUCCACUCCGAGGCUCAGGGAGCAAGUGCCUGGCAUGGGGGGUAAAAGUUGGCUUUUUUUUUCCUCCUUGGUCUUUUGCGCCCUUCUCACUCUCCCCAGAAGGGAAGACCCAUUUAAACUAUUUUAGACGCAAUCAACCAAGAAUCACCAUGUGGAAUUGAGCGGCAGUUUUAAAUGUGUUGAGCAGAGGAGAGGAAUGAUGAGAAAAACAUUUUUUUUUUUUUUUGGAGACGCCGAAAGGAGCCUGUUUGUGUGCUGCGGCCGUGCUGUGACUCUGGAUCUUGUCUUUCAGCCGGCGCCUCUGUUCCUGCCCAGCUGGAUUUGGGGGGCAGCAUUGCCUGGCGCAGGGAGAUCAAAUGAGACUGCAAAGAAGCAUAAAAUGAAUAGACAAUCCAACCAACCAAAGACCGGGGGCAGCAGCAGGCCAGCAAGACGGCAUCUUCUCCUUCCCAGCCUAGAAGCCCUGUGAAAUCGAGGAUCUUCCCCCUAAAACACAUACACACAAGAAAUGUGCAAUCAAGCUGCCACCGCUUGGUAAAAAGCUCAUGGUGCCUAACCAAAAAGGAUCAGGAACAGAUCCUUGAAUCAGCUGUCACUUCUAUAGAAUGGGAUGUUUUUUUUUUCCUUCCUCCUUAACCUGCGCUGGAAAUUGCCGUUGGCUUUAUACAUCUCUAUAGAGAGAGGCUAAAGAGUCUUGCGUGAGAAAGAAGCAAUUUACAAUGCAAAUAGAGGCCUGUGAAGGGACGGAUGCUGCUGCUCACUCGUAACAGCUUGCUGCACCUUAAUAGCUGGUUUUAUUUUCUGCUAUUAAUAGAUGAAUUGUGGGCUAACGCUGCCGGAGAUUACUUGCUGAAAGGAAAAAAAAAAGUUCGGAAUAAACUCUGAAGGCAACAGAUCUCGUUUGGAUGUUUUAGCUGUGCACACACACAAACAAACCAGGUCAUAUUUACAUAAAAGGAGGAAUCUUAAGCGCGGCAAGUAACCUGGACGACCGCUCUUCGGUACUGCCAGAAAGGAUCGGGACCUGGAGUCUGGCAAGAGGAAGACAGAGGCCUGUGUGGGAAGUGAGUUGUUAUCUUUGGUUAUCUAGCUGUAUGAGUGUAUUGGUCUUCAUAAAGCUAGAUAACCGAAAGUAAAAACUCCUUCAAGAUCGCCGGGGAGCGUGUGAGAAUGAAAGACUACAACCGAGAGACAGUAAAAACCAGAAAGGUCAGGAAUACUUAUUGAAUCUAACUUUGUUUUUGUUUUGUUUUUUUCCUUAUGAUUAAAGGUGGGAUGAGAGGAAAUUAAAUGACACACAUAUGCUAAAAUAUCAAGUUGCCAGAUAUAUCCUGAGAGGAGUUGUUGCAGCUGCAAAGGAGAAGUGUAUAGUGAUGAUGAGUAAAGAUGCAUGUGCAGUUUGUUCUAUUUUAAGGCAAAAGUUUAUAUAUCAGGGAUUUUUUUUCUUAGAAAGGUGUUGCAGAGAUGUCUGGUACCUAGUUUAAAAAUGAUUCCAUAAUAUGUAGACUUGGGCAGUUCCUUUGUGAGGCCCCUCCCUCUCAAAAUUUGAAGACUGUGCUUGGAAAUUAUUUUACAUGUAUUUGGGCUGUAUGUCAAUUUGUACGAAAUUAGACUUUCAGAAAAGUUUAUACUGGAAGGUUAAUAAUUUAUAUCUACUGAGGACUUAGAGCUAGCAGGCAAAAUGAAAAAAAAAAAAAAAGCAAGGGCUGAUUUUUAUUCUUCUAUUCAAAAUACAAGGACAGAUGCUUCUCUGUUCCAAGAAGGUUUCCUUGAGGAAGCUACUGAAGCAGAAAGACAUGAUGGAGACGAGAUCGCCUCCCCUCUUGUCAAAGUGUUAAAAAAAUGUUCUGUCUUACUCUGCGCCUAGCAUUGGAAAUGAAAGUGACAUUUACGCCACAACCCACGUGUGUGCCUCCUCUCUUUUUGUUUAAGGAUGAUCAGGUCUAUCCAGGAAACAGCUCUGGCAUCUCAAACUGAAAUAAUUAGGACGUAUAUAGACCUGACAAAAAUGGAAAGGGGGUGGGGAAUCUGAGGGUCUGUCUUGCCUAAUUGAUUCCGCUAAACGGAAUGCAGGAGAUGUGAACGGCAGGACGCUCCGAUUCCCACGCUCGGGGGCAAGUGAUAAAGCAGGGCCGGGCAGCCUAUGACAGACAGCCCUGUUGGGGGGUGGGGGUAUGAAAAAAACAUCAAGUGCACACACCAUACUCAUCUCCAUCGCUUAAGAAAGUAAAGGCAUUUCCCACCCACAGCCAUCUGCAGCUUCCCAAAUGGCAGCACCAACUGGUCUGUAGCUGCUACAUACUGUCUGCUUCUGUUAAUUUUUUAACCACUGUUUAAUCUGGCCAUAAUUAAGUUUGGCUUUCUUCGUUGUUUGAGAUUUUCAGAACUCAAGGCAAGCUAGUAGAAAGCAAUUCCAAGAAAGUCCCAUGACUGCCUGCCCCUAAUGUCAAAAUCUCCGUCCAUGAGAUUAUGGCCUUGUGACCACAUUUUUGCUUUUGUUUUGGGUGGGCUGUAUUUUAAAAUACAUAUCUCUAUAUAACAGUCGUUAUUAUAAUUUCAUGAGGCUUUUUACCUCUUAACAUGAUACAUCUAGGAACUUGGUCUAAUUGUGCUAGUAGAUAUAUACUAGAAGUAAAACUAUGAAGUCAUUAACCUAUAGAAAGUUGAUUAUGAUAACAAUAUAAAACAAUAUGAUAAAAAGUUUGUUUUGGAAUAGUCUCAGCUAAAUGGGUCUAAAUAGCCAUUUUAAUGUAAUCUAAAAAUAACACUAUGCCUAGCAGAAACUUUGGCGCUUUGGAGGUCCCCAUUGUCACCUUUUCAUAAAAGUCCUUAAGUUUUCCAUAUGUCACCAAGCAAACAUUUGUAUAGGCAUUUACACAGAAAUAUAACCAUUGCAAUUAGAAAAUAUCCAAAAUAGCCUGUUAUCUUCCACGUGGCCUAGAUUAUUGACAAUCCCAAAUAUACAAUUUUUCUUUAAAAGUAGUACAAUUUCCUUUGUAGCUUCAAUUCCUUAUAUGACUUCAGACUGGAGAAGCCUGUUAAACCACUGUUAGUUUCAGUUAGAAAGUCUGAGAGACUUUAUACAUAAAUUCUCAAUUUGGCUGCUGUACACGUGCCAGAGUUUUACUACUGUAGUGACCGUUGAGAAGACCCUUGUUUAUUUACAUUUGAAGCACUGUUUGUGCAAACAACCUUUCAUUGUUAAGUGCCUGUAUUCCUUUCAUUUACUUCAUGUCCAGGGGUGCUAUUUACCUAGAACCAUUGUCUACUACAAUUAACAUUUACAUUACAAAGUGUGUGGUUUUCUUUUUCAAGGAGGUUCAAUUAAGGCAAUAAGAUGUUUGCUGGAGAAACCUAUUGUUUACUGAAAGCACUCAAUGGAGUCAAAUUACUGAAGCUUUUGCCUACAUCUUGGUCUUUUAUGUAAAUAUGUUAAAUAUAACAUCUAAGGAAAAUAAACAAUAUUAUAAUUAUGUGUUUGCCAUUGUCAUAUCAAACUUGCUUUGUAUCAUACUAAUGUUACAUAACUUAUCGAUCAAUAAAAAUACAUUUCAAUGUUA